AGCGAACGCUGGCGGCAGGCCUAACACAUGCAAGUCGAACGAACCUUUCGGGGUUAGUGGCGGACGGGUGAGUAACACGUGGGAACGUGCCUUUAGGUUCGGAAUAACUCAUGGAAACUUGUGCUAAUACCGAAUGUGCCCUUCGGGGGAAAGAUUAAUCGCCUUUAGAGCGGCCCGCGUCUGAUUAGCUAGUUGGUUGAGGUAAUGGCUCACCAAGGCGACGAUCAGUAGCUGGUCUGAGAGGAUGAUCAGCCACAUUGGGACUGAGACACGGCCCAAACUCCUGCGGGAGGCAGCAGUGGGGAAUCUUGCGCAAUGGGCGAAAGCCUGACGCAGCCAUGCCGCGUGAAUGAUGAAGGUCUUAGGAUUGUAAAAUUCUUUCACCGGGGACGAUAAUGACGGUACCCGGAGAAGAAGCCCCGGCUAACUUCGUG
Molecule: ribosomal RNA, 434 nt
Filed under: uncultured bacterium
Lineage: Bacteria
Description: partial 16S ribosomal RNA
Rfam family: Bacterial small subunit ribosomal RNA
Source: RNAcentral